UCCCCCUCUUAAAUUGACAGUGAAACCCUUAAAUUUCAAUUCUAGGGCUUCUUUACUUCGAAACAGGUGCAGAUGUAGCUGUGAUAGAGUUCUAGAUAUCUUCUCGUCUCAAAGGACGGCAAGACCUUAGGAAGAUGAAGUGACUUAAAGAGUCUCCAAAUUACAGUCUUAAUCUACGACAAUGUCUUUUUUCCUUUUUUCUUGUUUGCUCCUUUUCUUUGGAUCGGCUCUUCAAUGUGGUUACUUUUCCUGUAUUUGGCCUUUGCUCUAUUACUCAUUUCUCCAUAAUUCUAGGGCUUCAAAGGAGUAUCCAAUUUGAUCUAAGCUCUCGUCUACAGUGGAUAAUCCUCAAUAAGCCGUGAAAAGGUUCUUUGUUGAUCUGAUGAUGGUAAAUGGAGUAUUUGAACCUGAUAUAGGGAGGUCUAUGAAGUAGUUGCUCAACUCAUUGUCAAGGCUAUAAUGGGAGUUAUAAACGAUAUGGAUGAUAUUAUGCUCGCAAUGAAGUGAAUACAUCGCUAAAUGUUCGUGUAUGGUUAUCAAUGUACCUGUGUGAUGGUAGGUAUGUAAAGCCUUGUAUUCGUGCAGAUGAUAGUCGUUAUGGAGAAAAUUCAAAUAGCCUUCAAAAGCAUACACAAUUCAAGUUAGUUUGCCUUCAAUUUAUUGUCUGAAAUUCCUAUAGUUAAUAGCUUAGUACUGUUGAAGCCCUAUAUGUGAUUAUUGUACUUUCGACUUAGUUCAUCUAGAUGCCUUUCUUGUUUGAAAUGAAACUCAGGCAAUUUUGGAGCUUGAUGCCAGAAAUUUGAGGACUUGGUCAUCCGUAACUUGUCGGCAUCAGGUUUGCAGCCAAGAUCUACUUUCUUUGUUUUUCCUUUUCUUGUUCCUACAUUAUGUAUUCCAGAAUAACUUAUGUGAUAACUGUAGCAAUCUGAUAAGUAAUAAGACUGUGAGGUUAUGUUGCUCGACCUCUUCAAAAUGGUCAACGGGUGCGUGUUUGGAUUCUACAAAAGUGGUAUUUUUGGAGAAUCCAACAUAGGUGCGGUACUAAAACUGAAGAAUCCGCACAACUUAUCUGUGAAGCCUACGAAUAACAAAAACUUGCAAUAUCUUCUCGUAUUUAUGCUUUGAAGAUUGGGAGAUAGGGCCAUGAUUUCUAAUCUUUUGAUUUUUGUGUUGUGACCAGAAUGCUGGAUGUGUCUUAUCCGCUUGCUAAAAGAUACAAGUUCAAUUAUAAUCAACUUGAUCAGUCAACUACAUUCAUAUAUUUCACUUGCAUCAUCUUCAACAUAAUUGAUAAGUCCUCAAGCAUUGGCGGAACUUGGAGUGAGAAAUCUUAGAUUUCACAAUGGAAGUCUUCUUUUGCAAAUGGCUAUGGAGAAUGAAUGAUGGAAAAGAGACUCCGCCGAAGAAUGUUACUGUUAAUAAAUAUGGUAGUCGACUUUAAAAUUACAAAUCUAAUUCUUCAUGAAUACGACAUGCUUUCUGAAUACCUUUGGUUACAUGUGUUCAAAGCUUUCUGACUCCCUGGGAGCAGCCAUCACAAGAAUUUGGGAAGUCAUUUUGAGGUACAACUAUCCAGGUUUUCUUGAGAUGUAUUUUAUUUUAAUAACCAAAAAAUCCCAAAGGAUCAGUAUACAUAGUUCAAAACUCAAAAGAUAAUGGGUUUGCUAUCUACUCUUUUCCCCUUACAUUCUAGGCUUUUGUUUGUGGCAAGUUUUGAACCCGUGAUGUGUGCCUUACUAACACAUCACAUAUUGUGCUCUUACUAUUAGAUCAAAGCCCUGGGUUUGAUGUAAUGUUCUCUUUAUGUCUAAUACCAAUUAUCAAAAUUAGCUCUUUAGAAGUGUAACUUUGUAACAUUCUUACUACUUUGUUGAAAGUUUAGUAGUCUACUACCUCUUUUAUUGCUUUAUUGUCUAUAUAUUUGCUUGGGAAAGCUAUAUUUCAUUAGCAGGAUUGAAAAUCUAUACUGGAAGAUUUAUAGUAGUACUUUGUUGUACAAUUGACUUGGUUCAGUUGAUUGAAACUUUCUAGAAACCAAAUUGAAGUUCGUUUCUGUUAGACAAAAUUGUAACCAUGAAACAACAGCAUAGUUUGGUUAUUUUUAAUUUUAACCAAGUCACUGUGCUCCUUGAAACCUUUUUCCUGUUGAAGUAUAAACGGAGUUAACAAAAAGUGUUUGUACUUUGUACAUUGUAUUGUAACCUGUGCCACACCUUUCUUUGCUUCUUUUUAACCUCAUAUGUCCUUUAUGCUUCUUGACAAAAAAAACCUCCACUCAUUGUAAUUUAGUUAAACUUGAAUCGAUAAAUCAUGGAAGCUUACCUUUGUCUCUCUUUUACUUCAGUAUCUUACUCUACACUAUGUUUCGAAUGUAAUGCUUGGUUUUCCCAUCCUUUAGAGAUGUCCAAAUAAAGUAUGUACUUUUGCUACUUUGCAAGCUAUAAAAAAGAUGACAGAAAGACUAAAUAUACAUGCAAUCACCCCUGAAACACCUCACUGGAUAUGCAAGGUCCAAGUUGUAGACAUGAGUAGACUAGGAGAAGGUAUAAAACGAAAGAUAAAUUAUUUGAACAUGAUUUUUCAAGAUGAACAAGUAACUUCUUACUUUUAAAAAUCAAAUCAUCUAUUUACAUCCCUUACUUCUACCUCUUAUAUUACUACUAUUGAAAAAAUUAGCUUCAGGACAAUCAAGUAAAAGUAACUGUUUACGGUGAUGAUAUCCCCCUUUAUCAAGAUAUGUUUUAGUUGUUUUAUACAUAUUUGAUAAUGGGUACAUGCAUAUAACAACCAACUCUGAGAUAUGAAACAACAUUGCAUACAUUCGACUGGAUUAUUGAUAAAAAGACCAUAGCCAAUCCAACUGAUAAAAAUGACUCAGAUGAAAUAGAGUUACCGCCACCUCGAAUGGUCAAUGCCACAUCAUUCCAAGAUAUCAACAAUCAAGCCUCCCGAGCUUCAAAAGAACAACUUCAAAAAGCAGGAUACAGUAUACUCAUUUCAUUCUUUCUAUCAUUAAAGAUCUACUUCAACACAACUAAUAUAUAACUUUUUCCCAACAGAUGUGUUAGCAAUAGUUGUCAGCUGUUUUGCUCCAAAAUAUGUUACCAACAUUCAAAAAAGAUUGCAGGAACUCCUUAUUAUUGAUACCGACAAACAGGCUUACACAUUCACGUUAUGGGAAAAAGCUCCAUUGAAGAAGGCAACAAGCUCCUCACACAGUUUUAACAACAUCCAAUCAUUUGUUUCAGGCGUGUUGGACUAUCCAAGUACAAUGGUAAACUAACGAACAUACCAUAAUUAAUUUACUUAAUAUCACCUUUAGCUUGCUUCUAUAACAUCAUUGUUAUUAUAAUUAUUAUAGGUAUAUCGUUGACCAUAAAAUUUAACACAACGAUACAAAUUGAUCCACCAUAUUUAGAAUGCCUUCAAUUGCACUCAUGGUAUCAACAUACUUUACUCUACUUUGUACUAAUUUGUACAUUAUUAUUGAUAUGCUAAAAUCCAUCAAACACCAACUGAAACAGGGUUGUAGAAAAUGUUGAAAUGCUCAACUCUUUUCCUAUGAGAAACACAUUCCAAUCUGGAUCUCUGGUCUCUGCUCCAGUAGAUGAAGAAAUAGUGUCAAUUGCUGACUCCACUUGGGUAGUAAUACUAUACACACAUACAUCCAUAAUAUCAAUAACAUAUUUCUCUUUAUUAACUAAAGUACUAAUAUAUACUAUUUUAGGUGCCGAUUCGAUAUGAAUCUGAAAGAUGACACUGACUCAAUCGUUGGAAGUAUUAGUGGAAAAGAAGGAGAAAGAUUAUUGUCUCUUACAAUAGAACAGAUCUACGAGCUUGCUUCAACUAAGGUAAAAAAAUUUAACCAUCAAAUAUACACAUCAACAUAAUUAUUCAACAAACAUAAAAACUAAAUAUUGUUUUGCACAGAAUGAGUCCCAAUCAAUGCAACAUGCUGAAAUUAGAUAGAAUCAAAAUCUGUUCAGAAUUCAAGUGUAAAAAGUAGCUUCCCGCACUGAUCAUACAAUUUCUAGGAAAGUCUACAUUUUAGCCUGUACUGAAAAAGGAAAAAUCAUGCCCUCUCUUCCCACACCAUCCACAUUUCAUAUCAAAGAAGAAAGCAAGAAACAAAAAAAAGAUUCUACUUCUCCUUCUGAACAAGCCGAACAACAAAGUGAACGCCAGAAUAUGCUCAAGAUGAAAUAAAAAAUAGAGCCAUCAGCUCCAAUGCAAACCAAAUAAAUGUUGCCAACAAACUUCUUUCAUAUUCUUUCCAUCAAUAUUUAUAAUGUCUUCAAUAACAUUACUAUAAUAUUUUCUCACUAACUAUAUUACUCCCUCUUUCAUUGUUGUUAAAUACAUUUGUAGGUUCAUAAACUUUCCUUUUGUAGUUACUUUUGGAUUUUGUGGAACAAAGGAUUUUAUAGAUUUUGUCAAAUAUUGUUCUUCCUUGUUCAUUCUGCUGUAAAGACUUUUGGUGAAAAGAACUACUAGCUACUUGCCUCUAUCAUCUACCCAACGGCCCAAUAGGUCAGUCAUCUCCUUAAUAUACAUUUUAACACAUUUCCUUCCUUAAUUCAUUGUUAUUCCAUAUUGAAAAAAUACAAAUUACUGAACUAGAUUUUUUUUCAAUGAAUUUUCUUCUGCAAACACCUACCUAACCCCUUGAGCAAUAUGAAUUGAUACAUGUUCAGCGUGGAACUACCAUAGUCCUCACUAGCACCAAGUAAUAUCUUGUCUUCAAUUUACUUUUCUUUGUGCACAUAUAUUUGUUGUUGAGUAUUAGUUUUGUAAUUCGUAAAAUAUCAGCAGGCAAGUGGUUUGGCUAAGUAAUACAAAUAGGAGUAAAGAUCAUGUUGUUAAUUUUCUAUCGGUUUCACUUCAUGUUGUUUCUACAAACCCUAAAGCUUAUCCCAAUCCUUGUUUAUAUGCUCAGGUACAAUCUCUAUGUUUCAAAUUUAAAUAUUUUUUUUCAUACCUUAACUUUUUUGGUUUUACUUUAAUAAGCAACAGUAGAAGACAAAACUGAAAGUUAAGUUGUGUGCUUUGUAAUAUCGAAGGCUUGUAAUCUAAGAAGUACCACAUAAAUUAGGACACAGGAAGUACUUAUUGUCUUAGGGUGUUUGAUAGUUUGAUUCCGUUGGGGAUUUAUAUGAAUCGGGUUUUGUAUUUGUCUAUCCCUAUUAGUAAAUAGAUUGAAAGCUAAUAACAAAAAACAACAUACCAAUGUGAUCCAAAAAGUGGAAUAUAGGAAGGAUGAUGUGUAUGCACCCCUACCUUGUGUGAGAUAGAUAGAUUGUUUCUAAUAGAUAUUCCUUUAGAAAAAGGCCAAACCCAUCGCCAGGCCCCUUAAGUACGCGCGAUCUUUUACUUAGGCACCUCAAGUGGACGUCGCUCACUUUGGGCACCUCAAGUAGCCAUAAAGUAUGUCAUUUUGACACCUUUUGCUGAGUUGGCAAGGUGCGUGUAUUACACACCUCUAUGAAGGCGCGUGAAAGCCUUUUUUUGGCUGAUGUGGCGCCCAAUUU
Capsicum annuum is the source of this 5528-nucleotide long non-coding RNA. RefSeq lists it as uncharacterized. The transcript is spliced from 7 exons. NCBI's taxonomy places the organism in Eukaryota, Viridiplantae, Streptophyta, Magnoliopsida, Solanales, Solanaceae. The record is from RefSeq and is a predicted model, not a curated record.